ACCAGCCCCUUCCUGAAAUCAUCCAGCAGCCACCAGGAGUCGCCUUGUUAGAACCAGAGAUGCUCCUAUCCCCCCCCAGGAUAUCCUAAGGGGUUUAGGAGCUUGGGCUCAGAAGCUCCUAUUACUCAGAAAAUGACUGAAGUUUUAGAAGCUCCAUGUCAGGAAACCUUGACCGGACCAACUUGCAUAUUUCUUAUUUCACAGCAGUAGAGGUCUGCAGAGAUCGUGGGUUCUACAGACAGGUUACAGGGUUCUGAAUGCUCCCCUCAAGGAAUUCAAAAUUUUUUUUAAAUCAACAUGAUGGAAGUAUGAUUAAUAUACAAUAACUUGAAGGCAUUUACAAAGUAAAGUUCAAUGAGUUUUGACUUGUGUAUUUGACUUAGUUACUUUCUCAUCACCAGGACCCAAUACCUGAUGCCCAAAAGAAACUCAUGGAAGACACGUGAGAAAAUGGCAGUCUUCGCACCAGGAAGGAGUGAUCAGCAGGAACUCAACUGGCCAGCUCCUUGAUUGCAACCUUCCAGCCUCCAGGACCAUGAUAAAAUAAAUCUCUGUCAU
This is a non-coding RNA of Heterocephalus glaber (naked mole-rat), 558 nucleotides long. The record is from RefSeq and is a predicted model, not a curated record. NCBI's taxonomy places the organism in Eukaryota, Metazoa, Chordata, Mammalia, Rodentia, Bathyergidae.